CACGAGUUUAUCAGUGUGCCAGGUGCAGAUAAUGACUAUGAUCCCUAUGG
Molecule: unclassified non-coding RNA, 50 nt
Filed under: Drosophila willistoni
Lineage: Eukaryota; Metazoa; Arthropoda; Insecta; Diptera; Drosophilidae
Description: GK14213
Source: RNAcentral